AAGGUGAUGCCUGCCCGGUGACCAGAUGUUCAACGGCCGCGGUAUCCUGACCGUGCAAAGGUAGCGCAAUCAAUUGUCCCGUAAAUCGGGACUAGUAUGAAUGGCUAAACGAGGUCUUAACUGUCUCUUGCAGGCAAUCGGUGAAAUUGAUCCCCCUGUACAAAAGCAGGGAUGUCCACAUAAGACGAGAAGACCCUGUGGAACUUCAAAAUCAGCGACCACCCUGAAUUACAUGCAAACCCAACCCGGGCUUACUUACUCACAGGCCACUGGUCCGCAUUUUUCGGUUGGGGCGACCUUGGAGCAAAACAAAACCUCCAAAUAUUAGACCACACCUCUAAACUGAGAGCAACCCCUCAACGUGCGAAUAGCAACCAGACCCAAUAUAAUUGACCAAUGGACCAAGCUACCCCAGGGAUAACAGCGCAAUCUCCUCCAAGAGUCCAUAUCGACGAGGAGGUUUACGACCUCGAUGUUGGAUCAGGACAUCCUAGCGGUGCAGCCGCUGCUAAGGGUUCG
Molecule: ribosomal RNA, 519 nt
Filed under: Cryptosylvicola randrianasoloi
Lineage: Eukaryota; Metazoa; Chordata; Aves; Passeriformes; Bernieridae
Description: partial 16S ribosomal RNA
Rfam family: Bacterial large subunit ribosomal RNA
Source: RNAcentral